This 156-nucleotide unclassified non-coding RNA is filed under the name uncultured Teichospora. RNAcentral's name for it is "sequence contains ITS2". Lineage: Eukaryota; Fungi; Ascomycota; Dothideomycetes; Pleosporales; Teichosporaceae. The record is from RNAcentral.
ACACCCUCAAGCUCUGCUUGGUGUUGGGCGUCUGUCCCCGCCUUCGCGCGCGGACUCGCCUCAAAGCGAUUGGCGGCUGGUACCACGGCCUGGAGUGCAGCAGAAUUGCGCUCCUUGUCUCAGGGUCUAGCUCCCAUAAGCGAACUUUUUUCACUU